RNAcentral lists this long non-coding RNA (219 nucleotides) under Brassica napus (rape). RNAcentral describes it as "long non-coding RNA (BNAP_LNC008673)". Lineage: Eukaryota; Viridiplantae; Streptophyta; Magnoliopsida; Brassicales; Brassicaceae. The record is from RNAcentral.
AUGGCUUAAUGGUAAAGUCAUGUUCUCGAAUUUCCUUAUUAAAAAUCAUAUGAUUCAUGUCCUUAUUCACUCUAGGUUACAUCCCAUGAAAAAAAGUUCAGAAUUUAUUGGAUUUGAAGAUUUAAAAAGUUUUGAAAGUAUUCAACAACCAAUUCCCUUUUUGCAGCAUCAGAGCAUUGCUUCACACCAUUGGGAUCAAAAAGUUUUGAAAGCCUGAUC